GUUGGCUCAGAAGCAGCCAUUCAUUCAAAGAGUGCGUAAUAGCUCACUGGUCGAGUGGUCAUGCGCCGAAGAUGUACCGGGGCUCAAACGCGCCACCGAAGCAUGGGAUUCGCGCAAGCGAGUGGUAGAGGAGCAUUGAAUCAGGGCAGAAGCUGGAGCGAGAGCACGAGUGGACUUGAUUCAAGAGAGAAUGCCGGUAUGAGUAGCGAGAGGCAAGCGAGAAACUUGCCCGUCGAAAGCCUAAGGUUUCCUGGGGAAGGUUCAUCCGCCCAGGGUAAGUCGGGACCUAAGCCGAGGACGGAAGUCGUAGGCGAUGGACAGCAGGUUGAGAUUCCUGCACCGCCUUGAGAAUGAUGCAAUGACACAGAAGGAUAGCAUGAGCCGGGUGAUGGUCAACUCGGUUUCCAAAGCGAGGGCGUCUGGUAGUGAAGUACGCCAGACACACAGCCUGAGCCAAAGAGGGAGCGAAAUUCAAGUAGCGAAGCAUGCGAUUUCACGCUGGCGAGAAAAGUUGCUGGUAUAUCGAAGAGGCGCCCGUACCGCAAACCGACGCAGGUAGGCGAGGUGAGAAUCCUAAGACGAACGGGAGAACCCUUGUUAAGGAACUCGGCAAAAUGACCCCGUAACUUCGGGAGAAGGGGUGCCUCGAAAGAGGCCGCAGAGAAUAGUCACAAGCGACUGUUUAGCAAAAACACAGGUAUCUGCGAAAGCGAGAGCUGACGUAUAGGUGCUGACACCUGCCCGGUGCUGGAAGGUUAAGGGGACAUGUUAGCGAAAGCGAAGCAUCGAACCGAAGCCCCAGUAAACGGCGGCCGUAACUAUAACGGUCCUAAGGUAGCGAAAUUCCUUGUCGGGUAAGUUCCGACCCGCACGAAUGGCGUAACGACUUGUGAGCUGUCUCAACAGGAGGCCCGGUGAAAUUGAAGUAUGUGUGAAGAUGCACAUUACCCGCGACUGGACGGAAAGACCCCGUAGAGCUUUACUGUAACCUGACAUUGGAUCUUGAUAACGGAUGCACAGGAUAGGUGGGACGCUGGGAGGUAUGGACUUUGGUCUGUACGGAGCGGACGUUGGGAUACCACUCUUCUGUUAUUGAGAUUCUAACCUCAAGCCGUAAGCCGGAUGAGAGACAGUGUCAGGCGGACAGUUUGACUGGGGCGGUCGCCUCCGAAAGAGUAACGGAGGCGCCCAAAGGUACCCUCAGAAUGGAUGGAAACCAUUCGAAGAGAGCAAAGUCAGAAGGGUGCUUGACUGCGAGACCAACAAGUCGAGCAGGUACGAAAGUAGGGCUUAGUGAUCCGGCGGUAAGAGAGUGGAAUUGCCGUCGCUCAACGGAUAAAAGCUACCUCGGGGAUAACAGGCUGAUCUCCCCCAAGAGUUCACAUCGACGGGGAGGUUUGGCA
RNAcentral lists this ribosomal RNA (1403 nucleotides) under human gut metagenome. RNAcentral's name for it is "bacterial LSU rRNA". It matches the Rfam family "Bacterial large subunit ribosomal RNA", at positions 1100 to 2523 of the family's 2925-position model. The record is from RNAcentral.